This 1029-nucleotide long non-coding RNA is filed under the name Fragaria vesca (wild strawberry). RNAcentral's name for it is "long non-coding RNA (FVES_LNC002701)". Lineage: Eukaryota; Viridiplantae; Streptophyta; Magnoliopsida; Rosales; Rosaceae. The record is from RNAcentral.
CACAAUAUUCAAUUAGAUCAAAUUAUUAUCAUAAGGUUUUCAAAUGAUAAAGCUCUCACAAAAUUUAAAAACAUAUGUUAACAUCUCUUUUGAGAGUGCUAUAAAACUAUGUACCUACGUGUUCAACCUAUAUUAAGAUGUGAUGAUGAUUUGCGUAACUACAAACAUUAAAUAUUAGAACAUUCAGCUCAUCGAUAUGAGAUAUUCUUGUAAUAGUUAUUCCUUCAUCGGUUGUGUACAAUGGCUAAAAAGUUGAACAAGACUUGAUUCCCUUCCGAUGACCCAAGCAAGUGCGAAAGUCACACCAAGAUGACCAACAACUUGGAGUUAGCAAAAACAGUGGAUCUGUUCCAGAGAUCAAACUAGUGCGAUUGUCCAAUGUAUUUCCUCAGUGACAAUGACUGACAACAUAAGAUUGUGGGCAUGGACACGGACUUGGAGACAAGAUGGAAACAAUUCAAUUUUUUUUGAUUGAUCAAUGAGUGUCUUUCGAGUUUGGUGUAAUCCACAUGGAGCCAAAGUCGUUUCAAGGUCAGUACCUGGGUAAAUUUAAGUUUCUAAUGACCUCUUGGCUUAUGAGAUAUUGCAUUCACUGUUGGAGCUGAAAGUUGUGGAAAUCAAUUCAGUGGAUCAACUAACUUUCAUCAAGCAGCUGAGUGAAAAAGAGUCAAACUGUAAUUUGGAGUUUUUGAUUUUGCAUGAAACUGAGUGUCAAGCUUUAGAGGACAUGGUAGAUGAGUAUAACAUAACGAUGAUGUAUAAUCAUGUAUUAUUAGUAGCAGUAGGGGACCAAGUGAUCAUAUGUAACGAUUUACUAUACUUGUUGUUGGUCUUAAGCGUUAUUUAACUAUGACAUUAUCGUUGAGUUGUUGGCGUGUUCAUUUGGUUGUCAGAAUUUCUAAUAUGUUUCAGUAUGUUCUUCUAUGUUGUGUUAAACUUAUUUGCAGUUGUUUCUUGUAAAUUUUCAAAUCUCUGUUUAUCACAUUACAUGCUUCAAUAUGAAAUCUAGACAUAUUCUUUUCAAAAUUU